RNAcentral lists this long non-coding RNA (1257 nucleotides) under Gallus gallus (chicken). RNAcentral's name for it is "lncRNA (ENSGALG00010028627.1)". Lineage: Eukaryota; Metazoa; Chordata; Aves; Galliformes; Phasianidae. The record is from RNAcentral.
GAAGGGUGGGAUGAGAUGAGUGGUUGUGAGUGACAGGGAAUUUCCUCUGCAUGUAAAGUCCUGACUGAAAUAGCACCAUUACUGUGUUCACAUGUAGUACUCUUUUAAAUACUAUUUAUAUUGUACAAAACAAAUUGUGUUUCCUCACCCCAUACUCAGAUGAUGAGUUACGUUUAAACGUGAAUCUGGAUCUGUGGAAUGCCCUUCCUCAUUGCAGGGGUUCUCCCUUUUUGUUCAUUUUUAAAUCUCUUUUUGAUUUAGGAAUGACUUGUGUGCAGAUUAUCUCUAAUGGCUGUGUUGAUGGCCUCUGUGCAUCAGACUAUUGAAAAGGAAAUAGGAAACGCACAGUCCUACCCUCCCAUUCCUUCAGUGAAAUAUAUUUGUAAGUGUCUGAUGAUGUGCUAUAAAAAUGCUGACUUUUUUCCUAGAUUAAGGAUGUGAUGUAUUUUUUUGCCUUUUUUUUUUUUAAAGUCUCUGCCUCUAGGUUCAUAAUGAAUUAAAGGCUCUUGAGCACCUGAGAAUUACAAUUGUUGGGGGGUUGAAGUCUCUUCAUUUCUAAGUUUAAUGUGGCUCGUACUGCAGGAGAAGAAAGCUCUGCAUCUGAUUGGGUACCUGAGGCCAGACAUGCCAAGACUGUUAAGCAGGAACAUGGAGAAGAUUAAAAGACUGUAGAAACAGCAAUGUUGAUUGUGCUGAGACCGUUAUCUUCUGGCUGCUGCUGAGACUGAGGGGACAGCCCUGACUUCCCAAACUGAUGGAUUCCAUCUGUAACAUGAUGGAAAGCACAACAAUGGCAGCAGAGCAGCAAGAUCCCAGGCUGCAGCAAGUGAGGAUUCACUCAAAUGUGACAGCAGUGGGCACAGAAAUAAGGAAAAGAAGCCGCUUACCUUCAGAAAGCCUCAGAUUAAUGAAACAAGCCCUGUACCUGCGUUCAUCUCUGUGAAGUUUAAACCACUUCUGCUUCAUAGUACCUAAUAGAGGUGAUACCUGCUGGUGCUCCUUUGGCCAUUAGUGCCUAUGUUGCCAAUGAGAAUUUCAUGUGAGAAAAGACUGAAAAAGCUUCUUGAGGCCCUAUUGGAAGCGCUCAAAACGUGUUCUUGUGGAUACCCAAUUUCCAGCCCCAUGUUCAGGUCAUCUCUCUGGAUUCUCUUCCCGUUGAAAACAGUGCUGGCAUACACACACACACACACACACAAAAGCAAACCAAGAAAACAAAACAAACGAGGUUUGGCAAGGGGCCAAGACUGAAAUGAGUUG